This is a long non-coding RNA of Sapajus apella (tufted capuchin), 873 nucleotides long. RefSeq lists it as uncharacterized. NCBI's taxonomy places the organism in Eukaryota, Metazoa, Chordata, Mammalia, Primates, Cebidae. The transcript has 2 exons. The record is from RefSeq and is a predicted model, not a curated record.
GUGUAUCCUUGGGACCCUGAGGCCGAGUGCGUGCAGGACUGGGCGAUACCUCCGCCAGGCAGGAUUUUGUCUGAUUCACCCCUUGAGAGACAGUGGGUCUUGCUACAUUGCCCAGGCUGAGCUUGAACUCCCCAGCUCAAGCAAUUCUCCUGCCUCAGCCUCCUGAGUUGUUGGGACUGUGGAUGAUGCAUGUCACCAUGCCUGGCUUAUAUUUGAUAUUUUAUGUUGACCUAUGUUUAGCCACAUUGCUGAAUUCACUAUUUAAUUUUCAUAGGUUUGUGUGAUUUAGAUUUUUCAUAUAUGCAAUCAUGACAUUUGUGAAUAAUGAGAGUUCUAUUUCUUUUCCAGUCCCAUGACUUUUUUUCUUAUCUUAUUAUGCUAGGUGGAACUUCGGUACAUUUAUGUAUUUAGCUAUUAGUAGUUUUAUUGAGGUAUAAUUGACCUACAAUAAAUUAGGUACAAUUUGGUAAGUCUUGACACACAUGCUUGAAAAAACAUCACCACAGUAAAAACAAACAAACAAAAAAACUAAACAUAUCUAUCACCUUCUACUCUUUUCUUUAUAAUCUGUCCCACCUGCCCCAAACCCCAGAUAACCAUUGGUAUGCUUUGUCACUUAGAUUAGUUUGCAUUUUCUAAAACUUUAUAUAAAUAGAAUAAUACAGUAUGUAUUAUUUGUUGUCUAGAUUCUGUCACUCAGCAUAAUUAUUUUGAAUUUCAUGUUUUUGCAUACAUCAGUAGUUCAUUUUCAUAUUACUGAGUGGUGUUAAAUUGCAUACAUACAUUACAAUUUGUAUAUCCAUUCACUUGCUGGUGGACAUUUGGGUUGUUUCCAGUUUUAGCCAUUUCAAAUAAAAAUGAUGAGGACAUUUA